UAACACAUGCAAGUCGAACGGACCUAGCCCGGUAGUAAUAUUGGGCGACGGUUAGUGGCGAACGGGUGAGUAACGCGUGAGCAACCUGCCUUUCAGAGGGGGAUAACAACUGGAAACAGUUGCUAAUACCGCAUAAUGUAUUUAGAUGGCAUCAUUUGGAUACCAAAGGUUAAAUCCGCUGAGAGAUGGGCUCACGUCUGAUUAGCUAGAUGGUAGGGUAAGGGCCUACCAUGGCUGCGAUCAGUAGCCGGUCUGAGAGGAUGAACGGCCACAUUGGGACUGAGACACGGCCCAGACUCCUACGGGAGGCAGCAGUGGGGAAUAUUGGGCAAUGGGCGCAAGCCUGACCCAGCAACGCCGCGUGAAGGAAUAAGGCCUUCGGGUUGUAAACUUCUUUUAUUAGGGACGAAGGAUGUGACGGUACCUAAUGAAUAAGCCACGGCUAACUACGUGCCAGCAGCCGCGGUAAUACCGUAGGUGGCAGCGUUGUCCGGAUUUACUGGGUGUAAGGGCGCGUAGGCGUGGAAAGCAAGUCAGAUGUGAAAUCCAUGGGCUCAACCCAUGAACUGCAUUUGAAACUGUGUUUCUUGAGUGAUGGAGAGGCAGGCGGAAAUUCCCUAGUGUAGCGGUGAAAUGCGUAGAUAUUAGGAGGAACACCAGUGGCGAAGGCGGCCUGCUGGGACAUCAACCGACGCUGAUGCGCGAAAGCGCGGGGAGCAAACAGGAUUAGAUACCCUGGUAGUCCGCGCCGUAAACGAUGAAUACUAGGUGUGGGGGGACUGACCCCUUCCGUGCCGGAGCAAACGCAAUAAGUAUUCCACCUGGGGACUACGGUCGCAAGACUAAAACUCAAAGGAAUUGACGGGGGCCCACACAAGCAGUGGAUUAUGUGGUUUAAUUCGAAGCAACGCGAAGAACCUUACCGGGGUUUGACAUCCGACUAACGAAGCAGAGAUGCAUUAGGUGCCCUUCGGGGAAAGUCGAGACAGGUGGUGCAUGGUUGUCGUCAGCUCGUGUCGUGAGAUGUUGGGUUAAGUCCCGCAACGAGCGCAACCCUUGUUGUUAGUUGCUACGUAAGAGCACUCUAACGAGACUGCCGUUGACAAAACGGAGGAAGGUGGGGACGACGUCAAAUCAUCAUGCCCCUUAUAUCCCGGGCUACACACGUAAUACAAUGGCGUUUAACAACGGGAAGCGAAGGAGCGAUCCGGAGCGAAUCCCCAAAAGGCGUCUCAGUUCGGAUUGCAGGCUGCAACUCGCCUGCAUGAAGUAGGAAUUGCUAGUAAUCGCGGAUCAGCAUGCCGCGGUGAAUACGUUCCCGGGCCUUGUACACACCGCCCGUCACACCAUGAGAGUCGGGAACACCCGAAGUCGGUAGUCUAACCUGAUAAGGAGGGCGCCGACGAAGGUGGGCUUGAUAAUUAGGGUG
This 1429-nucleotide ribosomal RNA is filed under the name uncultured Oscillospiraceae bacterium. RNAcentral's name for it is "bacterial SSU rRNA". It matches the Rfam family "Bacterial small subunit ribosomal RNA". Lineage: Bacteria; Bacillati; Bacillota; Clostridia; Eubacteriales; Oscillospiraceae. The record is from RNAcentral.